AUUGAACGCUGGCGGCAGGCCUAACACAUGCAAGUCGAGCGGAUGAAGGGAGCUUGCUCCUGGAUUCAGCGGCGGACGGGUGAGUAAUGCCUAGGAAUCUGCCAGGUAGUGGGGGAUAACGUCCGGAAACGGGCGCUAAUACCGCAUACGUCCUGAGGGAGAAAGUGGGGGAUCUUCGGACCUCACGCUAUCAGAUGAGCCUAGGUCGGAUUAGCUAGUUGGUGGGGUAAAGGCCUACCAAGGCGACGAUCCGUAACUGGUCUGAGAGGAUGAUCAGUCACACUGGAACUGAGACACGGUCCAGACUCCUACGGGAGGCAGCAGCGGGGAAUAUUGGACAAUGGGCGAAAGCCUGAUCCAGCCAUGCCGCGUGUGUGAAGAAGGUCUUCGGAUUGUAAAGCACUUUAAGUUGGGAGGAAGGGCAGUAAGUUAAUACCUUGCUGUUUUGACGUUACCAACAGAAUAAGCACCGGCUAACUUCGUG
This 484-nucleotide ribosomal RNA is filed under the name uncultured bacterium. RNAcentral describes it as "partial 16S ribosomal RNA". It matches the Rfam family "Bacterial small subunit ribosomal RNA", at positions 30 to 507 of the family's 1533-position model. The record is from RNAcentral.